Long non-coding RNA from Haliotis rubra (blacklip abalone), 601 nucleotides. RefSeq lists it as uncharacterized. The record is from RefSeq and is a predicted model, not a curated record. The transcript has 2 exons. NCBI's taxonomy places the organism in Eukaryota, Metazoa, Mollusca, Gastropoda, Lepetellida, Haliotidae.
UCUCACACUAAGAGAUGACAAAAAUAACACCCUCCUUCAUGUGGCAUGUCGAGGUGGAAAUAGUGACAUUGUAGAAGAUCUGCUUCCACUGUUUCACAUCAAUUGUCGGGGAAACGUGGGUUGGACACCUUUGAUGGCAGCAGCUUUGUGUGGGAAGAAGGAUGUUUUCGGCCUGCUCGUGUCAAAGGGAGCUGAUCUUACACUAAGAGAUGACAACAAUGACACCCUCCUUCAUCUAGCAUGUGUAGGUGGAAAUAGUCCCAUUGUAGAAGAUCUGCUUCCACUGUUUGACAUCAAUUGUCGGGGAGAAGAGGGUUGGACACCUUUGAUGGUAGCAGCUUUUUUGGGAAGAAGGAUGUUGUCGACUUGCUCGCGUCAAAGGGAGCUGAUCUCACACUAAGAGAUGACAAAAUAACACCCUCCUGCAUGUGGCAUGUCGAGGUGGAAAGGUCUCAUUGCAGAAGAUCUGCUUCCACUGUUUGACAUCAAUUGUCGGGGAGAAAAGGGCUGGACACCUUUGACGGCAGCAGCUUUUCUUGGGAAGAAGGAUGUUGUCGACCUGCUCGUGUCAAAGGGAGCUGAUCUCACACUAAAAGAUGAC